This is a non-coding RNA of Yarrowia sp. E02, 73 nucleotides long. The record is from the annotation of a GenBank genome assembly. NCBI's taxonomy places the organism in Eukaryota, Fungi, Ascomycota, Dipodascomycetes, Dipodascales.
UUAUAUAUAGUAUAGUAUAAUAAUAUAUUCUAUAAUAUUAUUAAUUAUAUUAUAUUAGAUUAUAUUAUAUAAU